This 237-nucleotide ribosomal RNA is filed under the name uncultured bacterium. RNAcentral describes it as "partial 16S ribosomal RNA". It matches the Rfam family "Bacterial small subunit ribosomal RNA", at positions 524 to 758 of the family's 1533-position model. The record is from RNAcentral.
GACAGAGGCCCCAAGCGUUAGGCGGAAUCACUGGGCUUAAAGCGUGUGUAGGCGGAUCGUUAAGUGUCUUGUGAAAUCCCACGGCUCACCCGUGGAACUGCUGGGCAUACUGGCGAUCUUGGGCCAACUAGGGGCAGUCGGAACAAGCGGUGGAGCGGUGAAAUGCGUAGAUAUCAUCUGGAACGCCAAUGGUGAAAACAGCUCGCUGGGGGUUUGCGAGAUCGCUGAGACACGGAA